UUUAGCUACAGGCUUAACACAUGCAAGUCGAGGGGCAUCAGGAAGAAAGCUUGCUUUCUUUGCUGGCGACCGGCGCACGGGUGAGUAACACGUAUCCAACCUGCCCUUUACUCGGGGAUAGCCUUUCGAAAGAAAGAUUAAUACCCGAUAGCAUAAUGAUUCCGCAUGGUUUCAUUAUUAAAGGAUUCCGGUAAAGGAUGGGGAUGCGUUCCAUUAGGUUGUUGGUGAGGUAACGGCCCACCAAGCCUUCGAUGGAUAGGGGUUCUGAGAGGAAGGUCCCCCACAUUGGAACUGAGACACGGUCCAAACUCCUACGGGAGGCAGCAGUGAGGAAUAUUGGUCAAUGGGCGCUAGCCUGAACCAGCCAAGUAGCGUGAAGGAUGAAGGCUCUAUGGGUCGUAAACUUCUUUUAUAUAAGAAUAAAGUGCAGUAUGUAUACUGUUUUGUAUGUAUUAUAUGAAUAAGGAUCGGCUAACUCCGUGCCAGCAGCCGCGGUAAUACGGAGGAUCCGAGCGUUAUCCGGAUUUAUUGGGUUUAAAGGGAGCGUAGGUGGACUGGUAAGUCAGUUGUGAAAGUUUGCGGCUCAACCGUAAAAUUGCAGUUGAUACUGUCAGUCUUGAGUACAGUAGAGGUGGGCGGAAUUCGUGGUGUAGCGGUGAAAUGCCUUAGAUAUCACGAAGAACUCCGAUUGCGAAGGCAGCUCACUGGACUGCAACUGACACUGAUGCUCGAAAGUGUGGGUAUCAAACAGGAUUAGAUACCCUGGUAGUCCACACAGUAAACGAUGAAUACUCGCUGUUUGCGAUAUACAGUAAGCGGCCAAGCGAAAGCAUUAAGUAUUCCACCUGGGGAGUACGCCGGCAACGGUGAAACUCAAAGGAAUUGACGGGGGCCCGCACAAGCGGAGGAACAUGUGGUUUAAUUCGAUGAUACGCGAGGAACCUUACCCGGGCUUAAAUUGCAGUGGAAUGAUGUGGAAACAUGUCAGUGAGCAAUCACCGCUGUGAAGGUGCUGCAUGGUUGUCGUCAGCUCGUGCCGUGAGGUGUCGGCUUAAGUGCCAUAACGAGCGCAACCCUUAUCUUUAGUUACUAACAGGUUAUGCUGAGGACUCUAGAGAGACUGCCGUCGUAAGAUGUGAGGAAGGUGGGGAUGACGUCAAAUCAGCACGGCCCUUACGUCCGGGGCUACACACGUGUUACAAUGGGGGGUACAGAAGGCAGCUAGCGGGUGACCGUAUGCUAAUCCCAAAAUCCUCUCUCAGUUCGGAUCGAAGUCUGCAACCCGACUUCGUGAAGCUGGAUUCGCUAGUAAUCGCGCAUCAGCCACGGCGCGGUGAAUACGUUCCCGGGCCUUGUACACACCGCCCGUCAAGCCAUGGGAGCCGGGGGUACCUGAAGUACGUAACCGCAAGGAUCGUCCUAGGGUAAAACUGGUGACUGG
RNAcentral lists this ribosomal RNA (1441 nucleotides) under uncultured organism. RNAcentral describes it as "SSU rRNA". It matches the Rfam family "Bacterial small subunit ribosomal RNA". The record is from RNAcentral.